AAGACCUUGCGCUUUUGGAGCGGCCGAUGCCUGAUUAGCUAGUUGGUAGGGUAAAGGCCUACCAAGGCGUCGAUCAGUAGUUGGUCUGAGAGGACGACCAGCCACACUGGGACUGAGACACGGCCCAGACUCCUACGGGAGGCAGCAGUGGGGAAUUUUGGACAAUGGGCGCAAGCCUGAUCCAGCAAUGCCGCGUGAGUGAAGAAGGCCUUCGGGUUGUAAAGCUCUUUCAGUCGAGAAGAAAAGGUUACGACUAAUAAUCGUAAUUCAUGACGGUACCGACAGAAGAAGCACCGGCUAACUACGUGCCAGCAGCCGCGGUAAUACGUAGGGUGCGAGCGUUAAUCGGAAUUACUGGGCGUAAAGGGUGCGCAGGCGGCUUUGUAAGUCAGAUGUGAAAUCCCCGGGCUUAACCUGGGAACU
Molecule: ribosomal RNA, 423 nt
Filed under: uncultured bacterium
Lineage: Bacteria
Description: bacterial SSU rRNA
Rfam family: Bacterial small subunit ribosomal RNA
Source: RNAcentral